Danio aesculapii is the source of this 348-nucleotide long non-coding RNA. RefSeq lists it as uncharacterized. Lineage: Eukaryota; Metazoa; Chordata; Actinopteri; Cypriniformes; Danionidae. The transcript is spliced from 4 exons. The record is from RefSeq and is a predicted model, not a curated record.
CAGGAGUGUUAAAACCGUUCAAAGAAGUUAUAAGACGUCACAUGGGCUUUUGAGAUGGACGUCAAAAUUUAAAUUAAGACUCGAACUCCAUCGUCGCAGUCAACUCCGCUCCACGUCACAAGUCUGCCGACAUACGCAGCGAGCCACUGGAAAAACUGGUAACAACGAUAAAGCAGUCCAUAUGAAGAUGAGUUUGAGUUUCUUUCUUCUGUUGAAGAUAUUUUGAAGGCUGCUUGAAAACGUGCAGAGAUAUGGAGACCUCUAGAAGUCCUUUAUGGUUGGCAUCAUCUCUUAGUAUGUGUUGAUCCUUGAGGUCCUCGAUGGUUGGCAUCAUCUCAUCUCAAUACC